GUAACUCAACUGUAUUGACCGCUGCUGUACCAGAGAGAGAGGGAACAAAUUAGAAAGCAUUUGGUUAGCAACUAGAGAUGAUACAGAGACGAUUAACAGGUUCCACUUUUACUUGUAAAUUUACAUUGGGAAAGGGAAAGAACUGAGGUUGGAAUUCACUAAUACUGUAUCCUUUCUUCUUUGUUGAAGCGCAGGCUCUCAAUGCCCCUAAGUGCUGAUUCAAAUGUCUUUAUAUUUGAGGAGUUUCUACCAGAAGAGGGAUGCUUCUGUUCUGAAGAUGCAAUAGGCAAACUUCU
RNAcentral lists this long non-coding RNA (296 nucleotides) under Manihot esculenta (cassava). RNAcentral's name for it is "long non-coding RNA (MESC_LNC006349)". Lineage: Eukaryota; Viridiplantae; Streptophyta; Magnoliopsida; Malpighiales; Euphorbiaceae. The record is from RNAcentral.